This 344-nucleotide ribosomal RNA is filed under the name uncultured eukaryote. RNAcentral's name for it is "bacterial SSU rRNA". It matches the Rfam family "Eukaryotic small subunit ribosomal RNA", at positions 594 to 945 of the family's 1831-position model. The record is from RNAcentral.
AUAGCGUAUACUAAAAUUGUUGCGUCUAAAAAGCUCGUAGUUUGAAAACUUGCCUUGGCUUACAAUCGGCCCUUCAGGGGCCACCGUUUGUUGAGUGCAAAUAUAGAUGACUGUUUUUGCCGACUUCAUUGUUUGGCUUAUAAGAGUUAUCAAAUAUCACUUUGAUUAAAUUAGAGUGCUUAAAGCAAGUGUUUUACUUGGAUAUAAAUGCAUGGAAUGAUGGAAUAUGUUGUUGUUCUAUUUGUUGGUUUUUGAACGAUGAAAUGAUUGAAAGGAACUGUUGGGGGCAUUCGUAUUGUUGUGAGAGAGGUGAAAUUCUUAGACCACAGCAAGACGAACUACUG